GCUGCGGUCCUCAAGGUGAGGGAUCACCCUUCCAAGGUGACAAGCCCGGUUCGAUUCCGGGUCGCCGCUCCA
This 72-nucleotide transfer RNA is filed under the name Rhizobium sp. RNAcentral's name for it is "tRNA-Gly". It matches the Rfam family "tRNA". From Rfam's summary of the family: Transfer RNA (tRNA) molecules are approximately 80 nucleotides in length. Their secondary structure includes four short double-helical elements and three loops (D, anti-codon, and T loops). The record is from RNAcentral. Lineage: Bacteria; Pseudomonadati; Pseudomonadota; Alphaproteobacteria; Hyphomicrobiales; Rhizobiaceae. RNAcentral also lists the same sequence under 1 other name.